Molecule: ribosomal RNA, 403 nt
Filed under: uncultured bacterium
Lineage: Bacteria
Description: bacterial SSU rRNA
Rfam family: Bacterial small subunit ribosomal RNA
Source: RNAcentral
UCGGGAAUAUUGCGCAAUGGAGGGAACUCUGACGCAGUGACGCCGCGUAUAGGAAGAAGGUUUUCGGAUUGUAAACUAUUUUAGACAGGGAAGAAAAAAGACAGUACCUGUAGAAUAAGCUCCGGCUAACUACGUGCCAGCAGCCGCGGUAAUACGUAGGGAGCAAGCGUUAUCCGGAUUUAUUGGGUGUAAAGGGUGCGUAGACGGGAUAACAAGUUAGUUGUGAAAGCCCUCGGCUUAACUGAGGAACUGCAACUAAAACUAUUAUUCUUGAGUGCGGGAGAGGGAAGCGGAAUUCCUAGUGUAGCGGUGAAAUGCGUAGAUAUUAGGAGGAACACCAGUGGCGAAGGCGGCUUUCUGGACUGUAACUGACGUUGAGGCACGAAAGUGUGGGGAGCAAACA